RNAcentral lists this ribosomal RNA (528 nucleotides) under uncultured bacterium. RNAcentral's name for it is "bacterial SSU rRNA". It matches the Rfam family "Bacterial small subunit ribosomal RNA", at positions 338 to 856 of the family's 1533-position model. The record is from RNAcentral.
CCUACGGGAGGCAGCAGUGGGGAAUUUUGGACAAUGGGCGCAAGCCUGAUCCAGCCAUGCCGCGUGCAGGGUGAAGGCCUUCGGGUUGUAAACUGCUUUUGUACGGAACGAAAAGGUUUGACCUAAUAAGUUGAACUCAUGACGGUACCGUAAGAAUAAGCACCGGCUAACUACGUGCCAGCAGCCGCGGUAAUACGUAGGGUGCGAGCGUUAAUCGGAAUUACUGGGCGUAAAGCGUGCGCAGGCGGUUAUGUAAGACAGAUGUGAAAUCCCCGGGCUCAACCUGGGAACUGCAUUAGUGACUGCAUAGCUGGAGUACGGCAGAGGGGGAUGGAAUUCCGCGUGUAGCAGUGAGAUGCGUAGAUAUGCGGAGGAACACCGAUGGCGAAGGCAAUCCCCUGGGCCUGUACUGACGCUCAUGCACGAAGACGGUGGGGAGGACGAAACAAGGAGUUAGUAUACCUACGGUAGUACCGACCGACCCGUAAACCGAACUAGUACAACUAGGUUGGUUGGGUUCGUUCUACU